This is a small nucleolar RNA of Suncus etruscus (white-toothed pygmy shrew), 132 nucleotides long. RefSeq annotates it as small nucleolar RNA SNORA71. The record is from RefSeq and is a predicted model, not a curated record. The transcript has a single exon. Lineage: Eukaryota; Metazoa; Chordata; Mammalia; Eulipotyphla; Soricidae.
AUCUGUAUUCGCAAGUGGUCAGAGCUGUCUGUGCUCUGAUCACGGAUGAUGCAGGGAGAGGAAUUGGUGAAAGAAGUUUCCCGUCAUGGAGGGUUCACUCCUGUCCCUUCCAAGCACUGUCACUGUCACACA